RNAcentral lists this ribosomal RNA (164 nucleotides) under Senecio calocephalus. Its description in RNAcentral is "5.8S ribosomal RNA". It matches the Rfam family "5.8S ribosomal RNA". From Rfam's summary of the family: 5.8S ribosomal RNA (5.8S rRNA) is a component of the large subunit of the eukaryotic ribosome. It is transcribed by RNA polymerase I as part of the 45S precursor that also contains 18S and 28S rRNA. Functionally, it is thought that 5.8S rRNA may be involved in ribosome translocation. Lineage: Eukaryota; Viridiplantae; Streptophyta; Magnoliopsida; Asterales; Asteraceae. The record is from RNAcentral.
AAACGACUCUCGGCAACGGAUAUCUUGGCUCACGCAUCGAUGAAGAACGUAGCAAAAUGCGAUACUUGGUGUGAAUUGCAGAAUCCCGUGAACCAUCGAGUUUUUGAACGCAAGUUGCGCCCGAAGCCUUUUGGCCGAGGGCACGUCUGCCUGGGCGUCAUACA